CAGCAGCCGCGGUAAUACGUAGGUGGCAAGCGUUGUCCGGAAUUAUUGGGCGUAAAGCGCGCGCAGGCGGUYUYUUAGUCUGAUGUGAAAGCCCACGGCUCAACCGUGGAGGGUCAUUGGAAACUGGGAGACUUGAGUGCAGAAGAGGAGAGUGGAAUUCCACGUGUAGCGGUGAAAUGCGUAGAGAUGUGGAGGAACACCAGUGGCGAAGGCGRCUCUCUGGUCUGUAACUGACGCUGAGGCGCGAAAGCGUGGGGAGCRAACAGGAUUAGAUACCCUGGUAGUCCACGCCGUAAACGAUGAGUGCUAAGUGUUAGAGGGUUUCCGCCCUUUAGUGCUGCAGCUAACGCAUUAAGCACUCCGCCUGGGGAGUACGGCCGCAAGGCUGAAACUCAAAGGAAUUGAC
This 406-nucleotide ribosomal RNA is filed under the name uncultured Bacillus sp. RNAcentral describes it as "bacterial SSU rRNA". It matches the Rfam family "Bacterial small subunit ribosomal RNA", at positions 509 to 914 of the family's 1533-position model. Lineage: Bacteria; Bacillati; Bacillota; Bacilli; Caryophanales; Bacillaceae. The record is from RNAcentral.